GGGGAUGUAGCUCGAUGGCAGAGCACUUGCUUAGCAUGCAUGAAGAGGCCCUGGGUUCCAUCCCCA
RNAcentral lists this transfer RNA (66 nucleotides) under Heterocephalus glaber (naked mole-rat). It matches the Rfam family "tRNA". Rfam says of the family: Transfer RNA (tRNA) molecules are approximately 80 nucleotides in length. Lineage: Eukaryota; Metazoa; Chordata; Mammalia; Rodentia; Bathyergidae. The record is from Rfam by way of RNAcentral.